Molecule: ribosomal RNA, 638 nt
Filed under: uncultured Lachnospiraceae bacterium
Lineage: Bacteria; Bacillati; Bacillota; Clostridia; Lachnospirales; Lachnospiraceae
Description: bacterial SSU rRNA
Rfam family: Bacterial small subunit ribosomal RNA
Source: RNAcentral
GAGGAUUGUGACUGAGCGGCGGACGGGUGAGUAACGCGUGGGUAACCUGCCUCAUACAGGGGGAUAACAGUUAGAAAUGACUGCUAAUACCGCAUAAGACCACAGCACCGCAUGGUGCGGGGGUAAAAACUCCGGUGGUAUGAGAUGGACCCGCGUCUGAUUAGCUAGUUGGUAAGGUAACGGCUUACCAAGGCGACGAUCAGUAGCCGACCUGAGAGGGUGACCGGCCACAUUGGGACUGAGACACGGCCCAAACUCCUACGGGAGGCAGCAGUGGGGAAUAUUGCACAAUGGGGGAAACCCUGAUGCAGCGACGCCGCGUGAGCGAAGAAGUAUUUCGGUAUGUAAAGCUCUAUCAGCAGGGAAGAAAAUGACGGUACCUGACUAAGAAGCACCGGCUAAAUACGUGCCAGCAGCCGCGGUAAUACGUAUGGUGCAAGCGUUAUCCGGAUUUACUGGGUGUAAAGGGAGCGUAGACGGAUGGGCAAGUCUGAUGUGAAAACCCGGGGCUCAACCCCGGGACUGCAUUGGAAACUGUUCAUCUAGAGUGCUGGAGAGGUAAGUGGAAUUCCUAGUGUAGCGGUGAAAUGCGUAGAUAUUAGGAGGAACACCAGUGGCGAAGGCGGCUUACUGGACAG